UACGUAGGGUGCAAGCGUUGUCCGGAAUUAUUGGGCGUAGAGAGCUCGUAGGCGGUUCGUCGCGUCGGCUGUGAAAUCCCGAGGCUCAACCUCGGGUCUGCAGUCGAUACGGGCGGACUGGAGUUCGGCAGGGGAGACUGGAAUUCCUGGUGUAGCGGUGAAAUGCGCAGAUAUCAGGAGGAACACCGGUGGCGAAGGCGGGUCUCUGGGCCGAUACUGACGCUGAGGAGCGAAAGCGUGGGGAGCGAACAGG
RNAcentral lists this ribosomal RNA (253 nucleotides) under uncultured bacterium. Its description in RNAcentral is "partial 16S ribosomal RNA". It matches the Rfam family "Bacterial small subunit ribosomal RNA", at positions 524 to 776 of the family's 1533-position model. The record is from RNAcentral.